CAGCCGUAAACUAUGCGCGUUAGGUGUAUCGGUGACCACGAGUUACCGAGGUGCCGAAGGGAAACCGUGAAACGUGCCGCCUGGGAAGUACGGUCGCAAGGCUGAAACUUAAAGGAAUUGGCGGGGGAGCACCACAACAGGUGGAGCCUGCGGUUUAAUUGGACUCAACGCCGGGAAGCUCACCGGAUAGGGCAGACAUAUGAUAGUCGGGCUGAAGACUCUACUUGAUGAUCUGAGAGGAGGUGCAUGGCGUCAGUGACU
RNAcentral lists this ribosomal RNA (261 nucleotides) under uncultured archaeon. RNAcentral's name for it is "partial 16S ribosomal RNA". It matches the Rfam family "Archaeal small subunit ribosomal RNA", at positions 748 to 1008 of the family's 1478-position model. The record is from RNAcentral.